This 253-nucleotide ribosomal RNA is filed under the name uncultured bacterium. RNAcentral's name for it is "partial 16S ribosomal RNA". It matches the Rfam family "Bacterial small subunit ribosomal RNA", at positions 524 to 776 of the family's 1533-position model. The record is from RNAcentral.
UACGGGGGGUGCGAGCGUUGUCCGGAAUCACUGGGCGUAAAGGGCGCGUAGGUGGUUUGAUAAGGCUGUGGUGAAAGCCCGGGGCUCAACCCCGGGUCUGCCGUGGCGACUGUCAGGCUCGAGGGCUCGAGAGGCAGACGGAAUUCCGGGUGUAGCGGUGGAAUGCGUAGAGAUCCGGAAGAAGACCGGUGGCGAAGGCGGCAUCCUGGACCAACACUGACGCUGAGGAGCGAAAGCCAGGGGAGCAAACGGG